RNAcentral lists this ribosomal RNA (428 nucleotides) under Cyprinus carpio (common carp). RNAcentral describes it as "partial 16S ribosomal RNA". It matches the Rfam family "Bacterial large subunit ribosomal RNA", at positions 1940 to 2516 of the family's 2925-position model. The record is from RNAcentral. Lineage: Eukaryota; Metazoa; Chordata; Actinopteri; Cypriniformes; Cyprinidae.
UUUUGACCGUGCAAAGGUAGCGCAAUCACUUGUCUUUUAAAUAGAGACCUGUAUGAAUGGCUAAACGAGGGCUUAACUGUCUCCCCUUUCAAGUCAGUGAAAUUGAUCUACCCGUGCAGAAGCGGGUAUAAUACUACAAGACGAGAAGACCCUUUGGAGCUUAAGGUACAAAACUCAACCACGUUAAGCAACUCAAUAAAAAGCAAAAACCUUGUGGACCAUGAGAUUUUACCUUCGGUUGGGGCGACCACGGAGGAAAGAAAAGCCUCCAGGUGGACUGGGAAAACCUCCUAAAACCAAGAGAGACAUCUCUAAGCCACAGAACAUCUGACCAAAUAUGAUCCGGCUAACACAUAGCCGAUCAACGAACCAAGUUACCCUAGGGAUAACAGCGCAAUCCUCUCCCAGAGUCCAUAUCGACGAGGGGG